AGUGAACGCUGGCGGUAGGCCUAACACAUGCAAGUCGAACGGCAGCACAGUAAGAGCUUGCUCUUACGGGUGGCGAGUGGCGGACGGGUGAGGAAUACAUCGGAAUCUUCUUUUUCGUGGGGGAUAACGUAGGGAAACGUACGCUAAUACCGCAUACGAUCUACGGGUGAAAGCAGGGGAUCUUCGAAACUUUCGCGAUUGUAUGAGCCGAUGUCGGAUUGGCUAGUUGGCGGGGUAAAGGCCCACAAAGGCGACGAUCCGAAGCUGGUCUGCGAGGAUGAUCAGACACACUGGAACGGAAACACGGUCAAGACUCCUGCGGGCGGCCGCAGUAGGGACUAUUGGGCAAUGGGGGAAAGCAUGCUCCAGCGAUACCGAGUGGGUGAAGAAGGACCUCGGGUUGUAAAGACCUUUUGUUGGAAAAGAAAAGCAGGAGCUUAAUACCACGAUGUUAUGACGGUACCUAAAAAAUAAGCACCGGCUAACUUCGUG
This 492-nucleotide ribosomal RNA is filed under the name uncultured bacterium. RNAcentral's name for it is "partial 16S ribosomal RNA". It matches the Rfam family "Bacterial small subunit ribosomal RNA", at positions 29 to 507 of the family's 1533-position model. The record is from RNAcentral.